ACUCCUACGGGAGGCAGCAGUGAGGAAUAUUGGACAAUGGAGGCAACUCUGAUCCAGCCAUGCCGCGUGCAGGAAGACUGCCCUAUGGGUUGUAAACUGCUUUUUAUACAGGAAGAAACACCUCUACGUGUAGAGAUUUUGACGGGUACUGUAAGAAUAAGGAUCGGCUAACUCCGUGCCAGCAGCCGCGGUAAUACGGAGGAUCCAAGCGUUAUCCGGAAUCAUUGGGUUUUAAAGGGUCCGUAGGUGGAUAAUUAAGUCAGAGGUGAAAUCCUGCAGCUUAACUGUAGAAUUGCCUUUGAUACUGGUUGUCUUGAGUUAUUAUGAAGUGGUUAGAAUAUGUAGUGUAGCGGUGAAAUGCAUAGAUAUUACAUAGAAUACCAAUUGCGAAGGCAGAUCACUAAUAAUAUACUGACACUGAU
RNAcentral lists this ribosomal RNA (422 nucleotides) under uncultured bacterium. RNAcentral describes it as "bacterial SSU rRNA". It matches the Rfam family "Bacterial small subunit ribosomal RNA", at positions 335 to 750 of the family's 1533-position model. The record is from RNAcentral.